Molecule: small RNA, 77 nt
Filed under: Erwinia tracheiphila
Lineage: Bacteria; Pseudomonadati; Pseudomonadota; Gammaproteobacteria; Enterobacterales; Erwiniaceae
Description: isrK Hfq binding RNA
Rfam family: isrK Hfq binding RNA
Source: Rfam by way of RNAcentral
GCACCAGCAAAAUCUGGUGCCGGGAUUUGCACCCCGGUCAGCACUUAGGCGAUAUCAGACGCGCCAGCGUCUUUUUU